Molecule: ribosomal RNA, 313 nt
Filed under: Echiniscus sp. ARD-2009
Lineage: Eukaryota; Metazoa; Tardigrada; Heterotardigrada; Echiniscoidea; Echiniscidae
Description: eukaryotic LSU rRNA
Rfam family: Eukaryotic large subunit ribosomal RNA
Source: RNAcentral
CCAAGGAGUUCAACAUAUGCGCAGGUCGUUGAGUGUCUGGUAUACUCGAAGGCCUAGUGAAAGCAAGCUACAUCAUUCGGUGGUGUAAUAGCGGCGAGAUCCUGGUGUCUUGUACAUUAGGCGCAUCGCCGACCCGUUUAUUGGCCACGCGCCAUGGACGGAGUUAGAGCGCAUACGCUGAGACCCGAAAGAUGGUGAACUAUGCCUGGGCAGGAUGAAGCCAGAGGAAACUCUGGUGAAAGUCCGUAGCGAUUCUGACGUGCAAAUCGAUCGUCUGACCUGGGUAUAGGGGCGAAAGACUAAUCGAACCAUC